RNAcentral lists this long non-coding RNA (543 nucleotides) under Setaria viridis. RNAcentral's name for it is "long non-coding RNA (SVIR_LNC001572)". The record is from RNAcentral. Lineage: Eukaryota; Viridiplantae; Streptophyta; Magnoliopsida; Poales; Poaceae.
UGGGAGUAGUGAAUGAUCCAUAUUUGAACGGCGUGAGGUAACGGUGAGAUAGAAUUAUUCUGAUGGAUAUAGUCGUGAGUGCGUAAGAUGAGCGAUUGAGAGAAGACUACCAUGCGGGAACAUUUGAGAAUACGAAAAGUUGAAGAAGAAAGGCAUGGGCACCUGUCUCCGUAGAGCUUACUUUAUGGGUGAUAAAAUGGUAGCAACACAAUACAAUUAUGAUUUGGGAGUAGUGAAUGAUCCAUAUUUGAACGGCGUGAGGUAAUGAUGAAACAGAAUUAUCCUGAUGGAUAUAGUCGUGAGUGCGUAAGAUGAGCGAUUGAGAGAAGACUACCACGCGGGAACAUUUGAGAAUACGAAAGGUUGCAGAAAAAAUGCAUGCCAUGUUGACAUUAGAUGCUAAUCAGACAGCUAAAGACAUCAAUCGAAAGAAAAGGACGGUUGACUAAUGGAUAUUAUCGUCAUCUUUAAAAAGAGUAUUUCAGUUUAACUCUGUAGACCACAAGGAGCCAUUAAUAUUGAAAUUCUUAUAAUUUCUCGGAG